This 1505-nucleotide ribosomal RNA is filed under the name metagenome. RNAcentral describes it as "bacterial LSU rRNA". It matches the Rfam family "Bacterial large subunit ribosomal RNA", at positions 1278 to 2911 of the family's 2925-position model. The record is from RNAcentral.
CAGAUCGGAAGCGAGAAUGUUGACAUGAGUAGCGACAAACAGGGUGAGAAACCCUGUCGCCGAAAGUCCAAGGGUUCCUGCUUAAAGCUAAUCUGAGCAGGGUAAGCCGGCCCCUAAGGCGAGGCCGAAAGGCGUAGUCGAUGGGAACCAGGUUAAUAUUCCUGGGCCAGGAGGAUGUGACGGAUGCUCACUGUUGUUCGGUCUUAUCGGAUCGACCGGGCAGCUGCGGUGUCCCUGGAAAUAGCCCUCCAUCAGACCGUACCCGAAACCGACACAGGUGGACUGGUAGAGUAUACCAAGGCGCUUGAGAGAACCACGUUUGAGGAACUCGGCAAAAUGCUCCCGUAAGUUCGCGAGAAGGGAGCCCCGUCUCUGGGCAACCAGGGGCGGGGGGCACAGACCAGGGGGUGGCGACUGUUUACUUAAAACACAGGGCUGUGCGAAGCCGUAAGGCGACGUAUACAGUCUGACGCCUGCCCGGUGCUGGAAGGUUAAAAGGAGGGGUGCAAGCUCCGAAUUGAAGCCCCAGUAAACGGCGGCCGUAACAAUAACGGUCCUAAGGUAGCGAAAUUCCUUGUCGGGUAAGUUCCGACCUGCACGAAUGGCGUAACGAUCUCCCCGCUGUCUCAAACGUGGACUCAGCGAAAUUGAACUGUGUGUCAAGAUGCACACUACCCGCGGUUAGACGGAGAGACCCCAUGAACCUUUACUCCAGCUUUGCACUGGCACCAGGAAUGUGAUGCGCAGGAUAGGUGGCAGGCUUUGAAGCCGGGACUCUGGUCCCGGUGGAGCCUCCCUUGAGAUACCACCCUUCGCCUUCUUGGUGUCUAACCGCGGUCCGUCAUCCGGAUCCGGGACCCUGCAUGGUGGGGAGUUUGACUGGGGCGGUCGCCUCCCAAAUCGUAACGGAGGCGCGCGAAGGUUGGCUCAGAGCGGUCGGAAAUCGCUCGUUGAGUGCAAUGGCAGAAGCCAGCCUGACUGCAAGACUGACAAGUCGAGCAGAGACGAAAGUCGGCCAUAGUGAUCCGGUGGUCCCAAGUGGGAGGGCCAUCGCUCAACGGAUAAAAGGUACUCUGGGGAUAACAGGCUGAUGAUGCCCAAGAGUCCAUAUCGACGGCAUCGUUUGGCACCUCGAUGUCGGCUCAUCUCAUCCUGGGGCUGGAGCAGGUCCCAAGGGUACGGCUGUUCGCCGUUUAAAGAGGUACGUGAGCUGGGUUUAGAACGUCGUGAGACAGUUCGGUCCCUAUCUGCCGUGGGUGCAGGAGACUUGAGAAGAGUUGACCCUAGUACGAGAGGACCGGGUUGAACGGACCACUGGUGGACCUGUUGUCGUGCCAACGGCAGUGCAGGGUAGCUAUGUCCGGACAGGAUAACCGCUGAAGGCAUCUAAGCGGGGAGCCCCCUUCAAAACAAGGUCUCCCUUGAGAGCCGUGGAAGACCACCACGUCGAUAGGCCGGAGGUGUAAGCGCAGCAAUGCGUUCAGCUGACCGGUACUAAUUGCUCC